Molecule: ribosomal RNA, 396 nt
Filed under: uncultured bacterium
Lineage: Bacteria
Description: partial 16S ribosomal RNA
Rfam family: Bacterial small subunit ribosomal RNA
Source: RNAcentral
AUACGUAGGGGGCGAGCGUUGUCCGGAAUGAUUGGGCGUAAAGGGCGCGUAGGCGGCCCGGUAAGUCUGGAGUGAAAGUCCUGUUUUUAAGAUGGGAAUUGCUUUGGAUACUGUCGGGCUUGAGUGCAGGAGAGGUAAGUGGAAUUCCCAGUGUAGCGGUGAAAUGCGUAGAGAUUGGGAGGAACACCAGUGGCGAAGGCGACUUACUGGACUGUAACUGACGCUGAGGCGCGAAAGUGUGGGGAGCAAACAGGAUUAGAUACCCUGGUAGUCCACACUGGAAACGAUGAAUGCUAGGUGUAGGGGGUAUCGACCCCUUCUGUGCCGCAGUCAACACAAUAAGCAUUCCGCCUGGGGAGUACGGCCGCAAGGUUGAACCUCAAAUGAAUUGACGGG